CGGCGACGCGAUGUUUUUGUCAUACAGUGGGCAAACUCAUUAUAAGAGUAGUUUUUAAUUUUGUAUACUAGUUACUUUGUUGUCUAGGAUUUGAAGAAAACCAAAUUACAAUCGAUAAUUGUAAAGAUUUAACAGAUUCCAUGAAAAAAGAACUCAUCCCUAUAAUUGGUACAAGAAUUGAAUUUUUAAAACAUUUUGAAGAGUUCAAAAGAAAAAUGAAAACAGACAAUGACACACCAUUAUUACACAUUCCAAGUGAUAAUACAAGUCUCGAUGCUACUCAAAGUACUAAUGAAUGUAAUGAUGUUUUGCCUCUCUCCAGUAUCUCCAACAUUGAUGAUUUUAAUGACAUCCAAUUUAAUCAAGACACAUCAACUGAUAAUGAGUCUUCAAGCAGUGUUAUUAUUGUCCCGGCAACAAAUAGGACAAUAUCCUUCUGUGGAAUAGAAGAUCUGCACACACAGAAUUUGGAGAAAAGUUCCCAGAGUUUGACCUAAAAACCCUUUUAAGUUUAUCACCUUAUGGUAGCCAAAUAUUAAAAUAUUACACACAAUUUGGCAGACUGAACGAGUUCUUAAGAAACAAGUUGGUCGAUGUUUAUAUGAUUACUCACCUCUACUCAUAUAUACUGCAACACCGACUAACACAUACUCAAUACAACAUAAUAUGUGCAAAAAUUAUGACACUUUUUCCCAAUGAAGUAAGUGCAACUUAUUAUAAAUCUGGAGCAAAAAAUGGACAGGCAAUACAGGCCAAAGGAAAACUUGUUUAUAAAGCACAUAACAUGAUUAGUAAUUGUCCAGACAAAUCCUAUGUAAGAAAACGAAAGUCUGCCCAGGCGGAACUUGAAAAAAACGAGCUAGAAUUGAUACGGAAGGUACCCAACCCAACCCAAUAGCUUAUAUUCGUCAACAAAUUUUGUAUAAUAUGUUCUUUUUUAAUAUUAUAUGUUAAGUAAUCUCUUGGU
Anthonomus grandis grandis is the source of this 967-nucleotide long non-coding RNA. RefSeq lists it as uncharacterized. Lineage: Eukaryota; Metazoa; Arthropoda; Insecta; Coleoptera; Curculionidae. The record is from RefSeq and is a predicted model, not a curated record. The transcript has 4 exons.